This 207-nucleotide unclassified non-coding RNA is filed under the name uncultured Microbotryomycetes. Its description in RNAcentral is "sequence contains ITS2". The record is from RNAcentral. Lineage: Eukaryota; Fungi; Basidiomycota; Microbotryomycetes.
ACUCUUCAACCCACCGGUUCCUUGUUGAACUGCUGUGGUGUUUGGAUUUUGAACGCUGCUAUGUAAUUAGCUCGCUCGUAAUACAUUAGCAUCUCAAUUUCGUAAUCGGAUUGACUCAGCGUAAUAGACUAUUCGCUGAGGACACUUUUUCAGAGUGGCCGAGACAUGAAAAGUUAGAAGCUUCAAACCCAUCUAGUCAUUCUUAAG